GGUGGGACAGCAGGUCCAGCCCAUGCUCCCUGCCCGACAACCAUGUGCAGGGCUGGACACAGGCUGCUUUGUGAUGUAGGUCCCAUGUCACUCGUUCGCCAUGGAAACCAGGGAUGGGCAGGGAAUAAAUCCUAGCCACCCGUGCUCUCUGGCCAGUCUCAGCGCAACCUGAGAGACUCCACCAAGAUAUAUAGAGAAUUAGUUAUUUGGCUAGAGUUAGACAUAGAAGGGGUGAUAGAUUAGAGAUAAUAGAGUAGAUAGUAGAUAGAGCAGCUAGGAGUAGAGAUAGUAUAGAUAGGUAUUUAGAGUAGAGAAGAUAGAAUAGGUGAUAGGUUAUAGAAAAUGAUAAGUAAGGAGGACCGAGGGCAGUGGCCCCAGCUGAGCAGCAGGACCAGCUGCUCCAACCUGGACAGCAGGGAGGCACGGCCAGGACACUGCCCGGUGUGGUUCCCCCAGCUGCACAAGCAGAAGAGCCCUCGGGUGCUGCCGGCUCUCCAGCCUCCUCCCGGCCACCCUGGGCCACCCCAAAGACCUGUCUGGGUGCGGGCUCCGCUCCGUUUAUACCCACCAUGCCGCACAGAAGACGGAGAAGAUGUG
Long non-coding RNA from Alligator sinensis (Chinese alligator), 597 nucleotides. RefSeq lists it as uncharacterized. Lineage: Eukaryota; Metazoa; Chordata; Crocodylia; Alligatoridae. The transcript is spliced from 3 exons. The record is from RefSeq and is a predicted model, not a curated record.